UUAGUAACGGCGAGUGAAGCGGCAAAAGCUCAAAUUUGAAAUCUGGCACCUUCGGUGUCCGAGUUGUAAUUUGAAGAAGGUAACUUUGGAGUCAGCUCUUGUCUAUGUUCCUUGGAACAGGACGUCACAGAGGGUGAGAAUCCCGUGCGAUGAGAUGUCUGAUUCUAUGUAAAGUGCUUUCGAAGAGUCGAGUUGUUUGGGAAUGCAGCUCUAAGUGGGUGGUAAAUUCCAUCUAAAGCUAAAUAUUGGCGAGAGACCGAUAGCGAACAAGUACAGUGAUGGAAAGAUGAAAAGAACUUUGAAAAGAGAGUGAAAAAGUACGUGAAAUUGUUGAAAGGGAAGGGUUUGAGAUCAGACUUGGUAUUUUGUAUGUCUUGCUUUCGGGUGGGGCCUCUACAGUUUACUGGGCCAGCAUCGGUUUGGACGGUAGGAUAAUGACAUUGGAAUGUGGCACCACUUCGGUGGUGUGUUAUAGACUUUGUUGAUACUGCCUGUCUAGACCGAGGACUGCGUCUUUGACUAGGAUGCUGGCAUAAUGAUCUUAAACCGCC
Molecule: ribosomal RNA, 551 nt
Filed under: Scheffersomyces stipitis
Lineage: Eukaryota; Fungi; Ascomycota; Pichiomycetes; Serinales; Debaryomycetaceae
Description: eukaryotic LSU rRNA
Rfam family: Eukaryotic large subunit ribosomal RNA
Source: RNAcentral